This 433-nucleotide ribosomal RNA is filed under the name uncultured bacterium. RNAcentral's name for it is "partial 16S ribosomal RNA". It matches the Rfam family "Bacterial small subunit ribosomal RNA", at positions 29 to 507 of the family's 1533-position model. The record is from RNAcentral.
AGCGAACGCUGGCGGCAGGCCUAACACAUGCAAGUCGAACGGAUCCUUCGGGAUUAGUGGCGGACGGGCGAGUAACACGUGGGAACGUGCCCUUUGGUUCGGAACAACUCAGGGAAACUUGAGCUAAUACCGGAUGUGCCCUUCGGGGGAAAGAUUUAUCGCCAUUGGAGCGGCCCGCGUCUGAUUAGCUAGUUGGUGAGGUAACGGCCCACCAAGGCGACGAUCAGUAGCUGGUCUGAGAGGAUGAUCAGCCACACUGGGACUGAGACACGGCCCAGACUCCUACGGGAGGCAGCAGUGGGGAAUCUUGCGCAAUGGGCGAAAGCCUGACGCAGCCAUGCCGCGUGAAUGAUGAAGGUCUUAGGAUUGUAAAAUUCUUUCAGCGGGGACGAUAAUGACGGUACCCGCAGAAGAAGCUCCGGCUAACUUCGUG